ACAAAACAAAGCGACACUGAAGCAGGAUGCUGCGCCGCUGGAGGACAGGGGCCAAGGGACGCAAGAAAUACGACUCCGGGACUGGAAAUGGAUGGGAAAUGGAUUCUCCAGAGACAGCAAGGCCCCAGCAACACCUGGAUUUGGGUCCAUGAAACUGAUUUUGGACUUCUGACUUCCAGAACUAUCUAAUCAAAUAACUCAGGGUCAAAUAGAAGGACCCUGCCUUCCUCUCAGAAUCCAGUAAACUCUGUCCCUCAAGCACCCAUCUAGGACUGGGCCUUUCAGAAUUGUAUUUGCCAUCACCUCUACCUUGCCCUAUGUGCCAGAGCUGAGAGCUGCAUGUGAGUCCCAAGGUCUUUUAGGCUGACAGUGCGAUGGACUGCAUAGUAACUUCUGUGUCCUGCACGUAUACCUCCAGAUGAGUUCCUGGAAAUAAUCUGAAGUAACUGGAAAACCACAAAAGGAGAAGGAAUGACCAACCCCUGAGGUGCCUAAUUAACUUGAGAUAUUGUUCCUUAUUCCUACCUCAACUGAUAAGGCAAUUGAACUUUGUAACCAACCUUGGCCAACUUCAUGACU
Long non-coding RNA from Cebus imitator (Panamanian white-faced capuchin), 579 nucleotides. RefSeq lists it as uncharacterized. The record is from RefSeq and is a predicted model, not a curated record. The transcript has 3 exons. Lineage: Eukaryota; Metazoa; Chordata; Mammalia; Primates; Cebidae.